This is a long non-coding RNA of Passer montanus (Eurasian tree sparrow), 243 nucleotides long. RefSeq lists it as uncharacterized. The record is from RefSeq and is a predicted model, not a curated record. The transcript is spliced from 3 exons. Lineage: Eukaryota; Metazoa; Chordata; Aves; Passeriformes; Passeridae.
CCCCGCCCCCAGCUCGUACCUGCACUGCGAGUGGGCGACGAUCGCGCAGCUGGAGAAGGACAAGAGGAUCCACCAGAAGCUCAAGCGCUUCAAGACCAAGAUGAACCAGAUGCGCCACUUCUUCCACGAGGAUGAGGAGCCCUUCAACCCCGACUACGUGGAGGUGGAUCGGAUCCUGGACGAGUCCCACAGCGUGGACAAGGACAACGGCGAGCCCGUGGUGUAUUACCUGGUGAAGUGGGA